AUGACGUCGCUGCCAUGCCCAUUGGUCGUGCAGCUCAUCACUAACUACUUAACUUCACAAUGCUUUUCUGGCAAGAACCACCUACGUUCCUGCUACAUCUGCAGUCUCUCUCUGCAACUGCAAGCUCGCCUUCUCCUCAUCUUUGUUUUCACCGCAAUCUUCCACCUACACAUCGGUGUGACAAGCUCUGCUACGACAGACACCAUCUCAGCUCGCCAACCACUUGGCAGCGGCAACAAGCUCGUCUCCCGGAACGACAGGUACGCGCUUGGCUUCUUCGAGACUGGUACAUGGACAUAUAUGUUAGACCAGGGCUUCACCGUGAGAUCACCAGAGGACUGGGAGCUAGAUGAUCGAACCAGCGGGUGCUUGAGAAAUGCUCCAUUAGACUGUAGUAGCAACAGAAGUGCAAGCUCAACAGACAAGUUCCACUCUGCCAUGUGUGAGAUAGUUGUGAGAAUAGCAUCGCAAGCAUUCAUUGCUAAUUGCUAUGAAAAUUCUCAAAUUCCCUUAUAA
This 516-nucleotide ribosomal RNA is filed under the name Triticum aestivum (bread wheat). RNAcentral describes it as "partial small subunit ribosomal RNA". The record is from RNAcentral. Lineage: Eukaryota; Viridiplantae; Streptophyta; Magnoliopsida; Poales; Poaceae.